AGAAUCAACGCUGGCGGCGUGCCUAACACAUGCAAGUCGCACGAGAAAGGGUAGCAAUACCUGAGUACAGUGGCGCACGGGUGAGUAACACGUGAAUAAUCUACCUCCGAGUGGGGAAUAACUGAGAGAAAUCUUAGCUAAUACCGCAUAAUACCCACGGGUCAAAGCAGCGAUGCGCUUGGAGAGGAGUUCGCGGCAGAUUAGUUAGUUGGCGGGGUAAUGGCCCACCAAGACGAUGAUCUGUAUCCGGCCUGAGAGGGCGCACGGACACACUGGAACUGAAACACGGUCCAGACUCCUACGGGAGGCAGCAGUGGGGAAUUUUGCGCAAUGGGGGAAACCCUGACGCAGCAACGCCGCGUGGAGGAUGAAGCCCCUUGGGGUGUAAACUCCUUUCGAUCGGGAAGAUAAUGACGGUACCGAUAUAAGAGCCCGGCUAACUUCGCGCCAGCAGCCGC
RNAcentral lists this ribosomal RNA (458 nucleotides) under uncultured bacterium. RNAcentral describes it as "SSU rRNA". It matches the Rfam family "Bacterial small subunit ribosomal RNA", at positions 26 to 518 of the family's 1533-position model. The record is from RNAcentral.